GUGCUCACUUUGGCAACAUAUAUACUAAAACUGGAACAAUACAGGGAAGAUUAGCGUGGCCCCCGUAUAAGGAUGACAUGAAAAUUCGUGACACAUUCCUCAUUUUU
Molecule: small nuclear RNA, 107 nt
Organism: Nycticebus coucang (slow loris)
Lineage: Eukaryota; Metazoa; Chordata; Mammalia; Primates; Lorisidae
Source: RefSeq, a predicted model, not a curated record